Molecule: non-coding RNA, 177 nt
Filed under: Ixodes scapularis (black-legged tick)
Lineage: Eukaryota; Metazoa; Arthropoda; Arachnida; Ixodida; Ixodidae
Description: Eukaryotic small subunit ribosomal RNA
Rfam family: Eukaryotic small subunit ribosomal RNA
Source: Rfam by way of RNAcentral
GAAGGUGGUGCAUGGCCGUUCUUAGUUGGUGGAGCGAUUUGUCUGGUUAAUUCCGAUAACGAACGAGACUCUAGCCCAUUAAAUAGGUGCGUGGUUCUCUGCACCUUGCACCCUUCUUAGAGGGACAAGCGGCUCCUAGCCGCACGAAACAGAGCAAUAACAGGUCUGUGAUGCCCU